GACGAACGCUGGCGGCGUGCUUAACACAUGCAAGUCGAACGGAAAGGCCCUGCUUUUGUGGGGUGCUCGAGUGGCGAACGGGUGAGUAACACGUGAGUAACCUGCCCUUGACUUUGGGAUAACUUCAGGAAACUGGGGCUAAUACCGGAUAGGAGCUCCUGCUGCAUAGUGGGGGUUGGAAAGUUUCGGCGGUUGGGGAUGGACUCGCGGCUUAUCAGCUUGUUGGUGGGGUAGUGGCUUACCAAGGCUUUGACGGAUAGCCGGCCUGAGAGGGUGACCGGCCACCUUGGGACUGAGAUACGGACCAGAAUCCUACGGGAGGCAGCAGUGGGGAAUAUUGCACAAUGGGCGGAAGCCUGAUGCAGCAACGUCGCGUGCGGGAUGACGGCCUUCGGGUUGUAAACCGCUUUCGCCUGUGACGAAGCGUGAGUGACGGUAAUGGGUAAAGAAGCACCGGCUAACUACGUG
Molecule: ribosomal RNA, 468 nt
Filed under: uncultured bacterium
Lineage: Bacteria
Description: partial 16S ribosomal RNA
Rfam family: Bacterial small subunit ribosomal RNA
Source: RNAcentral